RNAcentral lists this unclassified non-coding RNA (279 nucleotides) under plant metagenome. RNAcentral's name for it is "partial contains small subunit ribosomal RNA, internal transcribed spacer 1, and 5.8S ribosomal RNA". The record is from RNAcentral.
UUUCCGUAGGUGAACCUGCGGAAGGAUCAUUAACGAGUUAGGGUAUUCCAGGCCCUUUCUCUAAACUUUUAGUUUAUUGUACCUCUGUUGCUCCCGCGGACCCGCCUCACGGCCGCCGGAGGACCGUUGCUUGGCAUCCUCCGGUCAGACUCAGCGGAUGGACAAAAACUUUAAAUCUGACUAAAACGUAUCAUAUGUCUACGUCAACGAUUAAAUUAAAAAAAAACUUGAAACAAAGAAUCUCUUGGUUCAGACAUCGAUGAAAAACGCAGCAGCUCG